UGGGGCGUCGCCAAGUGGUAAGGCUCUGGGUUUUGAUCUCAGCAUGCGUAGGUUCGAGUCCUACCGCCCCAG
This 72-nucleotide transfer RNA is filed under the name Cocleimonas flava. It matches the Rfam family "tRNA". From Rfam's summary of the family: Transfer RNA (tRNA) molecules are approximately 80 nucleotides in length. Their secondary structure includes four short double-helical elements and three loops (D, anti-codon, and T loops). Further hydrogen bonds mediate the characteristic L-shaped molecular structure. tRNAs have two regions of fundamental functional importance: the anti-codon, which is responsible for specific mRNA codon recognition, and the 3' end, to which the tRNAs corresponding amino acid is attached (by aminoacyl-tRNA synthetases). tRNAs cope with the degeneracy of the genetic code in two manners: having more than one tRNA (with a specific anti-codon) for a particular amino acid; and 'wobble' base-pairing, i.e. permitting non-standard base-pairing at the 3rd anti-codon position. Lineage: Bacteria; Pseudomonadati; Pseudomonadota; Gammaproteobacteria; Thiotrichales; Thiotrichaceae. The record is from Rfam by way of RNAcentral.